This 492-nucleotide ribosomal RNA is filed under the name uncultured bacterium. RNAcentral's name for it is "partial 16S ribosomal RNA". It matches the Rfam family "Bacterial small subunit ribosomal RNA", at positions 29 to 507 of the family's 1533-position model. The record is from RNAcentral.
AGUGAACGCUGGCGGUAGGCCUAACACGUGCAAGUCGAACGGCAGCACAGUAAGAGCUUGCUCUUACGGGUGGCGAGUGGCGGACGGGUGAGGAAUACAUCGGAAUCUACUUUUUCGUGGGGGAUAACGUAGGGAAACUUACGCUAAUACCGCAUACGACCUACGGGUGAAAGCAGGGGAUCUUCGGACCUUGCGCGAUUGAAUGAGCCGAUGUCGGAUUAGCUAGUUGGCGGGGUAAAGGCCCACCAAGGCGACGAUCCAUAGCUGGUCUGAGAGGAUGAUCAGCCACACUGGAACUGAGACACGGUCCAGACUCCUACGGGAGGCAGCAGUGGGGAAUAUUGGACAAAGGGCGCAAGCCUGAUCCAGCCAUACCGCGUGGGUGAAGAAGGCCUUCGGGUUGUAAAGCCCUUUUGUUGGGAAAGAAAAGCAGCAGGUUAAUACCCCGCUGUUCUGACGGUACCCAAAGAAUAAGCACCGGCUAACUUCGUG